This 74-nucleotide transfer RNA is filed under the name Planctomycetaceae bacterium. Its description in RNAcentral is "tRNA-Asp". It matches the Rfam family "tRNA". Rfam says of the family: Transfer RNA (tRNA) molecules are approximately 80 nucleotides in length. Their secondary structure includes four short double-helical elements and three loops (D, anti-codon, and T loops). The record is from RNAcentral. Lineage: Bacteria; Pseudomonadati; Planctomycetota; Planctomycetia; Planctomycetales; Planctomycetaceae.
GGGGCUGUAGCUCAACUGGUCAGAGCGCCGGCCUGUCACGCCGGAGGUUGCGGGUUCGAGUCCCGUCAGCCUCG